GAUGAACGCUAGCUACAGGCUUAACACAUGCAAGUCGAGGGGAAACGAUAGAGAAAGCUUGCUUUUUCUAGGCGUCGACCGGCGCACGGGUGAGUAACGCGUAUCCAACCUGCCCACCACUUGGGGAUAACCUUGCGAAAGUAAGACUAAUACCCAAUGACGUCUCUAGAAGACAUCUGAAAGAGAUUAAAGAUUUAUCAGUGAUGGAUGGGGAUGCGUCUGAUUAGCUUGUUGGCGGGGUAACGGCCCACCAAGGCGACGAUCAGUAGGGGUUCUGAGAGGAAGGUCCCCCCACAUUGGAACUGAGACACGGGUCCAAAACUCCUACGGGAGGCAGCAGUGAGGAAUAUUGGGUC
Molecule: ribosomal RNA, 356 nt
Filed under: uncultured bacterium
Lineage: Bacteria
Description: bacterial SSU rRNA
Rfam family: Bacterial small subunit ribosomal RNA
Source: RNAcentral